This is an RNA transcript of Varroa destructor (honeybee mite), 985 nucleotides long. RefSeq lists it as uncharacterized. Lineage: Eukaryota; Metazoa; Arthropoda; Arachnida; Mesostigmata; Varroidae. The record is from RefSeq and is a predicted model, not a curated record.
UUCAUAUAAAAUUUAAACUUGUGGGCAAAAUCAACUUAGUUCAAAAUUGGAAAAUACUUUUUCUAUACUGUUAUCUUUUGUCGAAUCUGUUGGAAAACUUGUGAUCUAGUUGCAUGGAAGCGAGCUAAAGCUUUACUCGAUAUAGUAUUACUCUAGGCAAAAAGAGCGUUCAAUUGGAGUCAAACAACAAUAGAAAAGGCUACCUGUUUCGGACCGGACUGAAAAUCUAUGUUAAUGGCAAAGGGAAGUACACCGUUCUGAUAACGGGACUUAGACCUGCAAAAAGCAAGGACCAAAAUGAGGCCAACAUCACUUGCCAGUAACAACAAUGAAAUAUUUCAGCUCAACAGUUCUCUAGAAGGUAUCGUGACUUGCUCGCUUCUACAGGUUUAGUCAGGCGCAGACUUCACCGCUGCCAUCAACUUGUGAAGGACCAGGCCGUUGAUCGGAAACCUACAAUAUAUCAGCCGGCGGCUAGGGGUGAAUGGAUUAACUCACAUGGAAGGACCUCGGUUCGGUAGACGACUGUCAGCAGUGAUAGGAGUUAUUUCUAACCUAUCUGGGCGGUCAGCACUACCUAGCAAUAGAGACAAGCACUUCUGCUAGGGUUCGGACAAAUUGAGCGCGGGUUGUGAUGUGAGCCAGAGAACCUCUAACAGGGCUCACAAGGCGCUGUCCUCGACUUCAAAGGAACGAGCAGGAGCGGAUGUGCCUACACUAAGAAAGGCGAAAAGAAAGGUCUAUUGCAGUAUAGUGUAACGCUACAAGGCGCCUGAUGUAGGGGCAGCCUGGUGGGGCCUGCGAUUGCCCUAAAGUGUUGGGGUCUUACCCCCUGGUACGGUUAGUAAGUGGGGCGGGGCUGUUUCGUGCUGACGGUUGCAUCAGUGUGAUCCGACCAGGCCAUGCGUGCCUUCUUCUGCCAUAAAUAGAGAGAUUUCACUGGCUCGAUCAACUAGCUACCCUAUCCUGUGACCUACCAAAUGAA